UGGAGGAUGAGAGCGACCGCUGGGGCGGCACGCUGUUUGAGCAGGAUCUGUACGGACGGAUGUGUCGAGCGAAUUAUGGACGUCCGAAAGUGAACAACCACCGUUUAUCAGCGAACACUGAUGAAACUCUGAACACAUUUAAGAGCUCAGGACCAAGCAUGCCUGUUGACAGUGAGAUUUCUGUUACAGACCUGUACAACAUGCCAUAUGUUACUCCGUCAAAGCCAGAUGCGAAAGUACAGGAAAGUUUAUCGAUUCCCGCGGAGACGAUACUUGAGGCGAAUCCGCCUGAAAUCACGUGCAUCAACAAUAACGUGUCCUUCUCUCUGACUUUAGGGGAUCUGAACAUGAACGUGAAUCACACAGACUUUGGUUUUAUCGAUUCUGAUGGAUCUUCUCUAUCAGAAGUCGCCGAUACCCUCAGAAGCAUCAACACUUUGAGCGGGACAUUUUCGCCGCUGCCAGAAGACUCGCCGACGGUCAUGUACGAUGAGACAAAAGCACCAGAAGACAUGUUCAUGCUGAAGGACACCUACAUACCGGAGAUGAACUCCUCCUUCGAAAUCCCUGCGGCUUCUCACAAACUGUGUAAAAUAUCUGCAGUUUGCCAAGGCAGCUGCCAAGAUUGUCAGUGUAAACUGAAAAACGUAGCAGCUCACGGUCACUCCAGGGUCAGUAGUCGAGACAUCACUGCUUUAAUGUCUAACAGUCAGGCACAUGAGCCACUGGAUGUGGAAAGUGAAGAUAGAGACGAAAUCCAAAGAAGUGAUGAAGAUUUGAAAAAGACGCAGAGCGACAUUGAUGAUAAUGGCAACCUGCAAGCCGAGUUAGCCAAACCCGACCAGACAGGGUCCGUUCCCGGGGUAGUUAGCGCACGGAUACGUCCAAAGGGAGUAUCCCGCCAGAGCAGCACUGACAGCCAAAGCGGCCGACGCAAAAGCGGAGAAAGGGAGUUCGAGCAGUUUUUGUGCCUCGUUCAAAACAUCUCAGAUGAGUUCAGCGAAGGUCCGUCAUCGUAUCAGCCCGCUAAACCGGCUCUGCCCUCCGUGAAGCUCGAAGGCGGCGUCGGUCAUGACCAAACGCAUCACAGCAUGACAGAAAAGCCAUCUGACAUUAACUUUGAAGACCUUCACGCGCAAGUAGCACCAAACUCAAGAACCCCCUCGAAGGCAAAGAUUGAUCAAUCUUUGCUUGAGCCCGAAACCUCUUCACCCUCUGUCUACUCUGCACUCUCCUUAUCAGCUGAAACCCCUGUCUGUUGCCCCUCCAUACAUCCCCCAAGCGUAGGGCCGAGUGCUGGAGCCAGCACUGCGCUGGCCGUGGCUCCCUACACCUCCUCCUACUCCACCACCUCCACCACUGACCAGCCCCUGGCUGCACGGCACUCACUUUUGCCUGAGGAGACACAGCCAGCUAGCAACCUGCCCCGUCAGGAGAGCAGAUCUCAUCCAGUGAAGCCGUUAACCUCCAGCCAAUCAGAGAAAAAGGAGAGCCGCUCCGUUCUGGAGAAGCUUAAAUCUACCAUCCACCCUGGACGCGCCGCCCAUCAGGGCGCAGCUGAAGCCGAGAAAACUCAGGUACUCUUGGGAGAAAAUCGAGAAAAUCGUCUUUAUAGCUCAUUGUUAUACGAA
RNAcentral lists this long non-coding RNA (1631 nucleotides) under Salarias fasciatus (jewelled blenny). RNAcentral's name for it is "lncRNA (ENSSFAG00005019214.1)". Lineage: Eukaryota; Metazoa; Chordata; Actinopteri; Blenniiformes; Blenniidae. The record is from RNAcentral.